ACAGCCACAUCAUGUUGAAAUACCAGUUCCUGUACAUUCACCAAAGUUAAGCAACACUGAGCCUGGUCAGUACUUAGAUGAGUGACUAUUUGGGAAUACUAGUUAUUGUA
Non-coding RNA from Acanthosepion pharaonis, 110 nucleotides. The record is from the annotation of a GenBank genome assembly. Lineage: Eukaryota; Metazoa; Mollusca; Cephalopoda; Sepiida; Sepiidae.